AAACUGUAAUCCAGACAUUUAAUGCCAGAUUCUCUGCUCUGUGCUGUACACCCUACAAGGGAAAUUUGGACACAGACAUACAAAGAGGAGAGAAUGCUAUAUGAAGACACAGAGACAGACAGACCCAGAGAACAGAUGGCCAUGUGACCACAGAGGCUGUGAUUGGCAUUGCAUAGCUACAAGCCAGGAAACUCUGAGGAUUUCCAGAAACCUCCAGAAGUUAGUAGAGAGGUAUGGAAUAGAUUCUCCCCAUGCCUGAGCUGCCAAGAAGGAACUAAGCCUGCUGAUACCUUGAUUUUGGACAUCUGGCCUCCUGAACUGUGAGAGAAUAAAUUUCUGUUGUGUUAAGCCAUUCAGUUUGUGGUACAACAGCCCUGGGGAACUAAUACAGCACUUCUUAGUCAACCCAAGGAGAGGGCUCAUUUGCAGGAUGGAAUUCCUCCCCUUUUUAACAUUUAGCCAUCUAGUCGCAAUGGUGGGCAGGUUCUAAAUUGAUAGCCAUUUCCACUGACUUUGCUAGAGUAAAUAUUUUGCGUCCUCCCAUCCCUCUCUCAUGCCCCACCACUGUCAUUAAACAAGGCAGAAGAAUUCAAAGCACUUACCUUGAUGAAACAUUUCUUUGGGUCAUUAUAGUUUCAAGGAUUAGAAUUUUCCACUUGUUAUUCCAAGCAUUUGUUUGCCUGAGCACUUUCUAUCAUGGUCCAUAAAAUACUGUGUAAGUCUCAUCACUCCAAUAGUUUCUCUUUUAACCAAGUCCAAUUGUUCCAGGAUACAAUCAGUAUAAUCAAAAUAUUUCAAAAGUUGAAAUCAAUGAAAAACAGGUGGCUUUCUUUUUCUUGAGUCUUUUGUCCAAAAUGAUGGGUUCACACAUAUAUUUUGCCAUGAAAUAAUUUCUUCCAUUAUUUCUUUGGUAAUUAUGAAAUAAUCCUAAACUACAAGCAAUUUUAAAGAUGAGAUUCAAAAAAACUUUAAGUGAUUUUUGGCAUCCUUAAACUAUUAUGACAAUUAUCUCAAUCACUGGAAGAAAAGUAUAGGUGUGGUUUGGACACAGGUGCAAAUAACAUAGUAAUCAAAAUGCUGAUAAAGCAAUCCUCUUCCCAGUCAACCAUUUGACUAAAUAAGUAACUUUAGGUUUGACCUCAAUUAAUGAGGUAUAUUCAGGUUUCAAAGCAGGUUUAGAAGUGUAUGAACUAUGAACUAUGACUCCCAAAUAUAAUUGUUACCUAUCUGAUACCCAAGCUAGCAGAAACUAUGACUAUCAGUGCAGUUAUGCAACUAUAAAAAGCAUCAGGAGAGUUAUGCAACUAUAAAAAUCAUCAGGAGAGUUAUCAAGUAAGAUGUUAGUUGACCAUUUAAGACAGAAAAUAGAGAUAUCUUAAAAUUAGAAGUGAGUCACAUGAAUAGAAAUACCACUGGUGGAGAGGGAGAAAGCUUCUAACUUUUCUUACCAAAUAUUGCUAGUUCCUUGAAAUAAUCAUUAUUAGUAUUUUGGCUAAUCUUAUUAUUGCCACUAGGAAAAAUUCCUUAGGGUAUUUCAGCCUUUAACAUCCUUAGGAUCCUGAGAGGGGGAAACACACAGAAAGGCAGAAAAUUAGGAUUAUGUUACUUAGAUGAUUGGAGAAGAAGAUCUCUUCCCCUAUGAAAGCCAACAUAUUUUAUACAUAGUUCAUGGCUGAUUACAUAAUACAUGGUGUUCAGUGAAAAAUGAAAAUGCAGGACCCCUUGUUCAAAAAUCAGGAAACAGGUGUUGUAUAUGAACAUUUUUCCUUUCUUUCAUGGCCUUUCUUAAAUUGUCAUGAUGUUUUUCACUUGUUCUUUAAUGUCAUUCUAAGUAAAGAAUAAUUAAAAUGUUAAUUAUUAGCAUGAACUUCACUAUUCAUCUUUAUACUGUACCAUGCCAGUUUUAAAUGCUAGUUUAAAUAUAAGAGCACUUAACUCAAACACAGAAUCACUGAAAUUAUACAAUUUGUAACUUGUAGUUUCUACAUGUUUAUGUAUUUUUCUUACCAGAACAAUGGAAACACUGAACAAAGCUGACUUGGAUGUUGCUAUUUAGUUUGGUAUGCACACAUUCUACCAAUGCUCUCCACUUUUGGCUUACUAACGAGUGAGGAAUGACUGAAAGAAAAAGGAACACGAAUUGCAUUAUCUUUCACUGUUCUUCUAUGUCAUAAUUUUCACAUCAGUGGUUGACUAAUGCAGGGAAGUAAUACAAAUGAGAAAAGAUAUAGUAAGGUUCCUUGGUCAUUAGUAUUUCUUAGAAUAUAAUUGGUCUCUUUCUGAAAUUCUAGCGAAAUUCUGAUUCCAGUUGAAAGUGUGGCCUCUCAGGGCUAUCUGCAAUUGCUUACUUAGUUGUCUAUUGCUUACUCAAUUGCUUACCCCAACAACCAGCUUACUCUUUACUCAACUGAGGUCUUGCUGAACCUCCACACAUACAGCACCAGUGCACUGGAAAUCUGUGUUCAUGGGCCUUGAAGAACAUUAUCUGUGAAUGGCACAACAAGGUACGUCAGACAUGCACAUUGCACAUAUAUCCUGUACUCAAGCAUAUGCUGCAUUGUUUCGUUGCAUUUUACAUACAAAAG
Molecule: long non-coding RNA, 2585 nt
Filed under: Homo sapiens (human)
Lineage: Eukaryota; Metazoa; Chordata; Mammalia; Primates; Hominidae
Description: HSALNT0056286
Source: RNAcentral